AGGACGUGGUGAACAACAAGCUGACACCGACUAUGCUGAGAUAGAAGACGGGUGUGUGUUCAAACCCACACAAGGCGGAUCGAACAUAUAUGAUCUUACAUACGCCGCCAUCCAUCAUACUCAACCAGCGGGAAACAAGACCGAGGUAUCUCGGCCCAACCAGUCCAUUUAUUCCUUCAUCAACACGAAUGAAUAAGAAAAUCCACAGGAGCAAAUAAAGAGCACAUCAUCGAAUCUUCCUGCUAACAGGACAUUGAUCCAAUAACUGUGUAUUUAGUACAGUAUGAUUAAUUAUCAGUUUAACUUUUAACUUUUCAUAAAAAACAACACAGACAUGAGAACUACAUCAGUGUUGUUUGUUUCUGUUUUUUUGCUUUUUUUGCUUUUAUUCGUUGCUUGU
Seriola aureovittata is the source of this 400-nucleotide long non-coding RNA. RefSeq lists it as uncharacterized. NCBI's taxonomy places the organism in Eukaryota, Metazoa, Chordata, Actinopteri, Carangiformes, Carangidae. The transcript is spliced from 4 exons. The record is from RefSeq and is a predicted model, not a curated record.